RNAcentral lists this ribosomal RNA (472 nucleotides) under Citrobacter freundii. RNAcentral describes it as "bacterial SSU rRNA". It matches the Rfam family "Bacterial small subunit ribosomal RNA", at positions 11 to 477 of the family's 1533-position model. The record is from RNAcentral. Lineage: Bacteria; Pseudomonadati; Pseudomonadota; Gammaproteobacteria; Enterobacterales; Enterobacteriaceae.
GUUUGAUCCUGGCUCAGAUUGAACGCUGGCGGCAGGGCCUAACACAUGCAAAGUCGAACGGUAGCACAGAGAGCUUGCUCUCGGGUGACGAGUGGCGGACGGGUGAGUAAUGUCUGGGAAACUGCCCGAUGGAGGGGGAUAACUACUGGAAACGGUAGCUAAUACCGCAUAAUGUCGCAAGACCAAAGAGGGGGACCUUCGGGCCUCUUGCCAUCGGAUGUGCCCAGAUGGGAUUAGCUUGUAGGUGGGGUAACGGCUCACCUAGGCGACGAUCCCUAGCUGGUCUGAGAGGAUGACCAGCCACACUGGAACUGAGACACGGUCCAGACUCCUACGGGAGGCAGCAGUGGGGAAUAUUGCACAAUGGGCGCAAGCCUGAUGCAGCCAUGCCGCGUGUAUGAAGAAGGCCUUCGGGUUGUAAAGUACUUCAGCGAGGAGGAAGGCGUUGUGGUUAAUAACCACAGCGAUUGAC